This is a long non-coding RNA of Daphnia carinata, 867 nucleotides long. RefSeq lists it as uncharacterized. The record is from RefSeq and is a predicted model, not a curated record. The transcript has 5 exons. Lineage: Eukaryota; Metazoa; Arthropoda; Branchiopoda; Diplostraca; Daphniidae.
ACAGGCUGUACAUGCCAAAAUAAAAACAAAUAUAAGACUAAAAACAAAAGAAGAAUAUGAUAAAUUGAUUAUAAAAAAGAGAAACCUCUGACGACGUCUUUCCAAUAGGCAACAUAUCACUGUUCUUCGUAGCUACUGAGUUCAGCUGCAUGAUCUGAAGACAAUUUAAUGACUAUCACGAAAUACAAAGGGGAAAGCAUCCAUACCCACAUUUGGUGUUCUUGUUCCAACUGGGUCAAUUCGUUUUCCCCAUCAACUAUUAACAAGGAAACAGUAAAACGCGAAUGGUUCCCAGCUUUUUCAUGCUGUUUCCAACAAAUUCCCAAAGGAUUGCAGCCUAGGCGUUUUCAUCACUAUCGCGCUGAUAGGGUUACGUUGUUAUCGCUGAUGUGAACUCGACUUCAAGCGACCAAGGAUCACUCUUAUCUCAUAUAUCUCGUAUUUCAUUGUCUCUUCGACUAUAACACAGAGGUUUGAGCAGUCUAACGAGGAAAGAAUCGAAGUUCGUAUUUAUUCCAUUGCUUGCAUUUUAUAACGGCCCCUCGCUUAAGUAGAGAAGGUCAACUAGAAUGAUCAGACGAAAUGAGCCGACGUUCUGAUUGAAAGGUUGCUACUUCCCAGCACUUUCAAUCUAUACGGCAUCCAGUCCAGCAAAUUUGCAUAGAACUGCUUUGACACUUCGAAAAAUACCUUGGAAUGGCACCUCUUCAGGUAACAGAAUAAGACGAUGGUUCGUUUAAAAUUCAAGGGACAUUCAACACCACCGAGUACGAGAAGUCAAGCCAAGGUGGGGGGGAUUUCAUUUCAAACACAUUUCGGGAAUACUUUCCAUUCAUCUUUCUCUGGCGUCCGAACAGCCAGGACCAU